AUGCUCACUUUAACAGCAUACAUACUGGAAUUGGAAUGAUCCAGAGGAGAUUAGCAUGGCCCCUGAGCCAGGAUGAUAUGCAAAUUCAUGAAGCUUUCCAUAUUUUU
Molecule: small nuclear RNA, 107 nt
Organism: Echinops telfairi (small Madagascar hedgehog)
Lineage: Eukaryota; Metazoa; Chordata; Mammalia; Afrosoricida; Tenrecidae
Source: RefSeq, a predicted model, not a curated record